UCAUCUGACUUUUGUUAGAUGGAGCAACAAUAGCUACAAGUUUGUACUAGUUUUCAUGAGUAGUUCCUUCAAAAACAAGGUGUGUCAAUGGCAUCUCUAACUGAGCUUUCAUUCAACUAGACGAGCUUUAUUAGUGCCAUGUUUUCCAACAUGUCCUUCACUUACAGGAGCAUCUAUUUAAAGAAAGCCAUGGUCUGGCAAUAUCUCUCUCUAUUCUUUAUAUCUGGAUUCUAAAAUUUAUCUAUCUAUCAAAUGAAGAUUGACCCCUUGUUUGUUGCAGACUGACAUGGAUAGCACCAAUAUCUACGCCUACAUUUCCAUCAUUGCACUCAUUGUUUGCAUUCUGUCAAAACAUUGUUAUAAAGCAUUGUUAUAAAACCUUUGAAUUUCUCUACUCAUGUAAUUGUCUAUGGGCUCAACUUGUAGCUUAGUAGCUUUGUUAUUAUGUCAAAACAUUGUUAUAAAACCUUUGAAUUUCUUCUCUUAAUACUUUAACUUGAAUGUCGGUUUAAGGAAAUAUCCAUGAGCCUUUUACAGCCUUUGUCUUUACCUCUUGCAUGCUCCAUGAAUUUCCUUGUUCAGCUUUCCUAUUCAUUUAUAAAGGAAUGCUUCACUCCAAAAUAGAUGAGCUAGGACUCAAAUCAUUCACUUCUUCUUCUUAUCCUACUUAUUUUAUCUUUGGACAGGUAUCAAGACCCAGUAUGCAUGACGAUUAUUUUCUUGAAGGAGCUGUGGCUAGAUAUAAAGGACUCAAAUUUAUUUCAGGUUUGCAACAUUUCCUCUAAAAAUUUUCUGUGUAUCAAGCAUUCAUUUAAAUGAUCAUGAUGUGCUCACAAGGAACAUCCUUCUUGAUCAAGUGAUUCUUUCCGUUGCGUGCAAAAAUGGUUAGAACUGACUGGUUAGGCUGAGUGCUUCCCUUGAAGAAUCUCCCAAAUAACAGG
Molecule: long non-coding RNA, 941 nt
Organism: Magnolia sinica
Lineage: Eukaryota; Viridiplantae; Streptophyta; Magnoliopsida; Magnoliales; Magnoliaceae
Exons: 3
Source: RefSeq, a predicted model, not a curated record